Erinaceus europaeus (western European hedgehog) is the source of this 738-nucleotide long non-coding RNA. RefSeq lists it as uncharacterized. The transcript has 3 exons. NCBI's taxonomy places the organism in Eukaryota, Metazoa, Chordata, Mammalia, Eulipotyphla, Erinaceidae. The record is from RefSeq and is a predicted model, not a curated record.
GCGAGUGGCCCAGCGCGCGGCACGCGUCCCAGCCAACGAGGCUCCUCCCCGGGGGCUGCCCGGCGCGGGGCUCCGGGCUCCGGACAAGGUUCUGCAGACCCGACCCGAGGGCUGGCUCGCCGCUCCUCGCGGCUUCCGCGCGGGCUCUGGCUGCCGAGCGCCAGCACAGAGAGGCGGGCGGGGGAAACUCCCGGCAACUCCAACUCCAGGCGCUGGAGCUCCAGCUGCAGCCGGGCGUCCGCCCGCCCUCCCUCCGCCACCGCCACCGAGUGCGAGCGCCUGUGAAGCAAACCUGCCCCCGCCACCGCCUCUGAGCAUGCCCAGUGCCGCCCUGGGCGAGCCCCGGCGCCCUGACCUGGGGCGCAGAGCUGCGCCGGGGACCAGGCGACCCGCCCCAGGCUCCUGAACACUGAGGAGACUGCAGAGGGCGAGAAGGGGGCCUGCUCCAGCUAGGGGUCCUCGGGGCAAAGGUCUAUGUAUAAGUUUCUGGGGCUGUGGAAGUUAGCGGGAUGGCAAGUUAACAUUUAUGUUCCUGAGACUGCAAGGAGCAAACAGCAGUCAAUGGUCCACACCCAGUUCCUAACACAGAAGCAGGAAUCUAUCAGCAGAUCACAAUGACACAAUGACUCACCUGUCACCACCAGGUCGGAACCAGGGGCUUGAGCCUGGAUCCUUGUGCACCAUAGUGUGUGCACUUAACCAGGUGUACUACCUGUCUCCCUGCCUUCAAUUUUUCAA